AGAGUUUGAUCCUGGCUCAGAUUGAACGCUGGCGGCAGGCCUAACACAUGCAAGUCGAGCGGUAGCACAGAGAGCUUGCUCUCGGGUGACGAGCGGCGGACGGGUGAGUAAUGUCUGGGAAACUGCCUGAUGGAGGGGGAUAACUACUGGAAACGGUAGCUAAUACCGCAUAACGUCGCAAGACCAAAGAGGGGGACCUUCGGGCCUCUUGCCAUCAGAUGUGCCCAGAUGGGAUUAGCUAGUAGGUGGGGUAACGGCUCACCUAGGCGACGAUCCCUAGCUGGUCUGAGAGGAUGACCAGCCACACUGGAACUGAGACACGGUCCAGACUCCUACGGGAGGCAGCAGUGGGGAAUAUUGCACAAUGGGCGCAAGCCUGAUGCAGCCAUGCCGCGUGUAUGAAGAAGGCCUUCGGGUUGUAAAGUACUUUCAGCGGGGAGGAAGGCGAUAAGGUUAAUAACCU
RNAcentral lists this ribosomal RNA (463 nucleotides) under Klebsiella pneumoniae. RNAcentral describes it as "bacterial SSU rRNA". It matches the Rfam family "Bacterial small subunit ribosomal RNA", at positions 8 to 469 of the family's 1533-position model. RNAcentral also lists the same sequence under 1 other name. The record is from RNAcentral. Lineage: Bacteria; Pseudomonadati; Pseudomonadota; Gammaproteobacteria; Enterobacterales; Enterobacteriaceae.